CUUAUAUAUAGUACUGUCCAGCUGCCAGUGAAACAAGAAAUAGCUGUUCAGGUGUUUACAGUUUAAAUUUUCAGAUGGAUAUGUUGUUCAUUUCUUCACAUGUCCCUUCAAGAUUCUCAUUUUGGAUUAUUAUUUGCAAUGUUUGAAAUCUUUUGGUGUCAUUGUGCAUACAAUAUUGGAUUUAUUUUAUUUGAAUUCACUUCUUAGAUUUUUUAUAGCAAUUUUGCUUCUUAAAAUGGUGUGUGUUUUUUUCAAGAUUUUAUUGUCAUGAAGGACAUCAAGGAGGAAAUAAUUCAUUCAAACUGUUUUGUGGGGCUUACAUAUGAUGUUGUACAUGUAAAAUUCGAAAAUAAGUUUGGAGUAUACCUUGCUGUGUUUUUUCUUUGAAAUCUAUUAUAAUAUUAGUGGGACUUUUGUGCAUAAAAUGCUGUGUUUGCUCAAGGAAAUUCAAAUUUUCAUACGAUGGGAUUUAGUUAUGUUAAAGAUUAAAAAAUUUCAAAACUGGAAUUCAAGUAGGAGAUAUAGUGUGAGUUCAUCCAACAUGUUUCUGUGGCUUUAAAUGUGAUUUUAAAAACAUUCAUUAUUAAUUUGGGAUCUAUUACAAACUUAAGAUGAUUUACCAUUUAAAUGGGAUCUUGGAAAUGAAAUAAAAUGUUGAAUUAAUGCAGUGGAUAUAGUCUAAUCUAGUGAUAAAGUGAAAAAUGAAAGUAAAAUAUUCUAAAAUAUUCCUAACGUGGGGAAAUGUUUUAAGUGAAUGUGAAAUUGGAAAUAGUCAUUAUAAAAUUCUGGAUCAAAUAUUGUUUGAUUUGGAAAUUUAUAAUAGGAAAUGAAAUAAAAUGUUUACUGUGGAUAUAGAAAAAUCAAGUGAUAUAUAGUAAAAAUAUAAAUAAAAUAUUACAAAAUAUUUGUAAAGUGAGGAUAACUAUUUGGAAUAUAGUAA
RNAcentral lists this long non-coding RNA (940 nucleotides) under Mytilus galloprovincialis (Mediterranean mussel). The record is from RNAcentral. Lineage: Eukaryota; Metazoa; Mollusca; Bivalvia; Mytilida; Mytilidae.